This 10360-nucleotide long non-coding RNA is filed under the name Ananas comosus (pineapple). RNAcentral describes it as "long non-coding RNA (ACOM_LNC010416)". The record is from RNAcentral. Lineage: Eukaryota; Viridiplantae; Streptophyta; Magnoliopsida; Poales; Bromeliaceae.
AUGCGCAGAGAGGGACCGGUCCCCUGGAACGAGGGACCGGAACCCGUAGUGUAAGGUACUGAACUUCUAAAAUUAUGAAGUUGCGGGGUAUGUUGGUUUGGAAAGCUAUUAGAAUGAUUCCGGUGAAGUUCGGAAGCAUUCGGGCGUUUUCGGAGCGCGUAGGCGCAAAAACGGGACCCGAAAGGCUAUGUUGGACUAUGGACUAAAUCCGGCAUUAGCGCAGAUGAAAAGAUGAUGAAAAUACGCUCAAAAACAUGUUUGAAGAGUCUCGGUUCGAUUUGAAAGCAAUCGGAGGCCAAACAAGCGAAAACGAACGAAAACGGAAAAGAAACGAAAAUGGCUGAAAUUUGGCUAAGUCUGGAAAUCUGGACCUACGGGGAUGGGUCCCUCGGCCUCCCUCGGCCAAGGACAGGUCCCUCAGGAACCGGUCCCUCAAGCAAGGACCGGUCCUCGUAGCUCGAAAAUGCCCUGCGUGGGCAGUGCAUAAAACACAAAGUUGAGAGGCUGUUUUGCAGUUGUUGCAUGAGUUGGUGUCACGCCUCGAGCCCGAUCUUUUUGGCCGGUUCGAGAGCGUCGAACAGACGCCGAACGGACAGAGCCUCCCCUGACCGCCCAAGGCUCAACAACAAGUAUUAAUAGAGUAUAAAGUUUGCAUAAGCGGAAGCAUACACAAUGGCUUGCACGAGGGCAAGCAAUAGCCAUUAGUGAAAGAAUCUACUAAAUCAUCACACAAGUAUUUGACUAGAUUUAAAUCACAUACAUGCAUUCGACUUUAAUACAACUUUGCAUCAUUUCUUUUAUACAUCACAAAUUCUCCAAAAUAUGAUCCUUUUUCUAUUUACAUAAAUAAAGUCUUCUACAUCAUUCCUUUAACAUGAUCACAAUACUAACAUCAUCAAGUACAAAAGAUGAUAAUAAGGGGUAUGCAACUAUGAAAAUAAAACAUCUCGGGCCGUCUCUACCUAGAGCGCGAUGCCUUUACCGCGAUCGCCUGCCGGCUCGCUCGGUCCCGGCUCUGUAGAAAUAGGGGUGUGAGAACUACAACAAAGUUCCUAGUGGGUUCGGCAACCAACCACGCCGACUAUCCCACUAGGUCUAAUCAGGCAUAAUAGAAUAGAAGAAAGAAAGUAACCAACUAACAAUGCAACUAAUAUGCCUGAACAAUAUAUAAUGCGAUGCUCGAAAUAAUACUCAUGAUGAAUGCAAGAUCAUAAUUUCUUUACCCAAUCUCUUGGCUAACCCGUAGGUUUCGUCCUCAACAAACUCACCACCCAAAAUCCUAUUAACCGGAGAGAUACCCGCUACAACCCGAUAGGACCGUCCUCUGGGGAGAUACCCGCUACAACCCAGUGAUGUCGACUCCGGAGCACAUCGCCCGAGGGGGAGCUACCACCCUCGAGCAAGGACUAAAGGUGAGUACGAUCAAUCCUACAUUGAGGAUUCCAAGUUCAAUCCAUUCCUUAACUUUAAAGAAGACCAUGCUCAAUGACCCUUAACUCUAAGAUUGCAAUGUCAUAAUAUCUCAAUCAUUCUUUUCUUUGCAUUCUUUACCAACACUAGUGUCAUAUACACUACCAAGUUCUUGUACUCAUGCCACACUUGUUUUCUAAGUGCUAUAUUCUUGUUCUCAUGCCAAAUGCCACACUUAUUUUUCUAAGUAUUCUAGACUCAUCAAUGUCACUCGCUAGAUCUAUGUCCAUGUGUCACUUUUGUUCACUAACCCUUCUAGGUUCUUGUCACUUGUCAUCCAUAAAUAGGGUUAUAAUUCUCACAUUCUUACAAGUAUUUCAUACGAAAUUAAACUCACGAUCAUGCAUAAAUAGGGAGAGGUGUGUGUGUGUGAAUGGCUGUAGAGGGAGAGGGGGUUGGGUAUAUAAGGUGUUGUAACAUUUACAACAAGACCCCUCCACUUUAUUCCCUGUGCACUGCCCAAACUGGGCAUUUUUCGCAGUGAGGGACCGGUCUCCCCGACCUGGGACCGGUCCCCGAGAGCUCCGCCCGCGAACUGCGCAGGCUGCGCGCGAUGCAACCGGUCUCCCUCGAUGGGACCGGUCUCUGGGGGACCGGUCUCUGCUCGCAAGGACCGGUUCCCAAGAGCUGAUUUUCCAGGACUUAGCCAAUUUCUCAGCCACCUCGCUGCCUACGCGUUCGGGGACCAGUCUCUCCCACCAGGGACCGGUCCCCGAGAGCACAAAACCCGCAGUGUGCAGAUUUUGAUUUCUAAAGCUCUCGAAGAUCCCCAGUAAUGUAUUUUAGCAUUAUUUGACGCCUUCGGCCUCUCCGAAGUGUACCAACCUCGCACUUUGGUCAAUUUGACCAAGGUUUGAAUUUAAUCACCGAGGUUUCGGUAUGUUACAUUCUCCACCCCUUAAAUUUAGUUUCAUCCGCGAAACUUACUUAAUUUAGACUUAAACUCAUACCUCAAUUCAGCUCGUUAAAGAGCUGAGGAUAAUGCUCCCGCAUUGCGCUCUCAAGCUCCCAAGUGGCUUCCCGAUCAUCGUGAUUGCACCAACGAAUCUUAACAUACGGAAUCUCGCGAUUUCGUAGUUUUUUUACUUCUCGAUCGAUGAUGUAUGCCGGGAACUCCUCAUAGGUCAUGUCCUCUUGGAUCUCAGACGAUUCAAACGACAAGAUAUGCUCGGGGUCGUGAACGUACUUGCGGAGAUUCGAUACAUGAAACACGUCGUGUACUCCCGCAAGCCUCGGUGGUAAUGCUAUCUUGUACGCCACCGCACCUACCCGCUCCAAUACUUCGAACGGUCCAAGGUAUCGAGGACUUAGCUUUCCACGGAGCCCAAACCAUCUAAUUCCUCGCAUCGGCGAUACUUUUAGAAAGACGUGGUCGCCAACUGCAAACUCUAUGUCUUUUCUCUGCUUGUCGGCAUAGCUCUUUUGCCGGGAUUGCGCCGUAGCCAGCCGCUGGCGGGCGAGGCGAACCUUCUCCUCCGCUUCCCGCACUACAUCGGGGCCGAGAGCUGCUCUCUCACCCACAUUGCUCCAAUGGAUUGGAGAGCAACAUUUCUUUCCAUAAAGGGCCUCGAAUGGCGCCAUCGCGAUACUCUCUUGAUAGCUGUUAUUGUACGCGAACUCCGCCAUUGGUAGAUGAUCGUGCCAACUGCCCUUGUAGUCCAAUACACACGCUCGGAGCAUAUUCUCAAGUAUUUGUAUCGUCCUUUCCGAUUAACCAUCACUUUGAGGAUGAAAUGCUAUGCUAAAGUCGAGCCGUGUGCCCAAGGCCUCCUGUAGGCUUCUCCAAAAAUGAGAUGUGAACCUCGGGUCCCGAUCUGAUACGAUAGACACCAGUACCCCGUGAAGUCUCAUAACCUUGUCGAUGUAUAGUUGAGCCAACUUGUCCCCCGACCAAGUAAUAUGAAUCGGUAGGAAAUGCGCCGACUUCGUCAACCGGUCUACUAUCACCCAAAUUACGUCGUGUCCACCUUGAGAUCGAGGCAAUCCGGUCACGAAGUCCAUUGCGAUAUUUUUCCAUUUCCAAACGGGUAUAGGUAAACUUUGCAACUUCCCCGUCGAAAAACGCCGCUCCGCUUUUACUUGUUGGCAAGUAAGACAUUGCGCAACAAACUCCCCAAUGUCUUUCUUCAUGCCCGGUCACUAAUAAUGCAGUUUCAAAUCUUGGUACAUUUUGGUGCCGCCCGGGUGUAUACUAUAAGGCGAUUGAUGCGCUUCUUGCAUAAUCGCCCUGCGGGUGUCCUUGUUCUUAGGCACGCACCAACGGUUUCUAAACCGGAGUGCACCGUCGGUCCCAAUGCCAAAAUCAUCGGCACUACCGCUCUCAACUUCACCAUGCACCUUUUGGAGAUAAUCAUCGGAAGCUUGCAGCUCUUUUAUCCUCUCCAGCAAGGUCGGUUGCACCACUAACGCGGUAAGUGUAUCUGGCACUCCCGGCUCCACUACUUCCAAUCCAAGCCAUUGCAUCUCCUUUUGUAACAACGGUUAGGGUGUAAUUGCCGAUGCCAAAUUUUCUCCCGAUUUUCUACUAAGUGCAUCGGCCACCACAUUUGCUUUCCCGGGGUGGUAUAGAAUAAUAACAUCAUAGUCUUUCAACAAUUCUAACCACCAUCGCUGCCGUAUAUUUAGCUCCUUUUGGGUGAACAAGUAUUUAAGGCUCUUGUGGUCCGUGUAGAUCUCACAAUGUUCCCCAUAUAGGUAAUGCCUCCAUAAUUUUAGCGCGAAAAUAACCGCCGCUAACUCCAGAUCGUGGAUCGGGUAGUUUUUCUCAUACGUCUUCAAUUGGCGCGAAGCAUACGCUAUAACUCGGCCGUUUUGCAUCAAGACAUACCCGAGUCCUACGUAGAAAGCAUCACUAUAAACCACAAAGGUCUCCCCCGGCGUCGGUAGAGCAAGCACUAGGGUCGUGGUCAAUUUUUCUUUUAGUUCCUCGAAGCUCCGCUCGCAUUCGGGGCUCCAAACAUACUUCACCCCUUUGUGCGUAAGACGCGUUAGUGUAGUAGUUAUUUUAGCAAACCCCUCUACGAACCGCCGGUAAUAGCCCGCUAGCCCAAGGAAACUGCGGACCUCCGAUACGCUCGUUGAUCGAGGCCAAUCUCUAAUUGCCUCAACUUGCUUCGGGUCCACCGAGAUACCAUUGCCCGAAAUUACAUGACCAAGGAAAGUGACCUCCGAUAGCCAAAAGUCGCAUUUCUUCGACUUGGCAUAUAACUUCUCUUUUCGGAGUAUUUCCAACACGGUCCUUAAGUGCUCCUCGUGUUGUUCCUCGGUCCGAGAAUAUACCAAUACGUCGUCAAUGAAUACCACGACGCAACGGUCCAAUAGCGGACGGAAGACCCUAUUCAUUAAGUCCAUAAAUGCCGCCGGGGCGUUAGUAAGCCCAAACGGCAUCACCGUGAACUCAUAAUGGCCAUACCGCGUACAGUACGCCGUCUUGUGCACAUCCUCGGGCCGUAUCUUCAACUGAUGAUACCCCGACUGAAGGUCUAUCUUCGAGUACACCCUCAACCCUUGCAAUUGAUCGAAUAAAUCGUCAAUCCUCGGCAAUGGGUACUUGUUCUUCACUGUGACCUUAUUCAACUCGCGGUAGUCCACGCAGAGUCGAAGUGUGCCAUCUUUCUUUUUAACAAAUAGCACCGGAGCUCCCCACGGUGACACGCUUGGCCUCACGAAGCCUUUGUCGAGCAAGUCUUGCAACUGUGCCUUAAGCUCUUUUAGCUCCGCGGGUGCCAUUCUAUACGGGGCCUUCGAAAUUGGAGCCGCCCCGGGUACCAAGUCAAUAAUGAACUCGAUUUCCCAGUCCGGUGGCAAACCCGGUAACUCCACCGAAAAUACGUCCGGAAACUCACACGCCACCCGAAUACCACUAAGUUCCGAGCGCUCCUUCGGGGCUUCUACCACUGUCGCCAAAUAGGUUUCACAACCACCUCUUAUCAUUUUCCUCGCCCGUGCCACCAACACGGUCGCCGCGAAGAGCGAGCUUUUAGCUGCCCGAUACACUAGCUCCUCUCGAUUAGGCUCACGAAACGUGAUUACCUUACUUUCGAAAUCUAUCACAGCAUAAUACUUGGAGAGCCAGUUGGUCCCCAAGAUCACGUCGAAACCCCACAUUCGAUUCAACACCAACAGGUCGAUCGGCAUAACCCAAUCACCUAUCUGCACUGGGCACGCUACACACUCUUCGUGAAUAUGGAAAGUAUGCUAGACCGAAUUCACCGUCCAAUAGUCAUAAUGAUGCACAAUCUUAAUGCCAUGAGCCCUAGCGAAUGAUGCAUCUAUGAAUGAAUGUGAUGCACUAGUGUUGAAGAAAGCUCUAGCUCUAGUGCCUCUGAUUGAGAUAAUACCUGCCACGAUGUCGUCGGAAACAGGAAUCGGCUCCUCUUCCACCUGAGUGCAAAAACCCGUCCACUCGGUGCUCUCGAUGCCUCCGGCUGACGCGAUGAAGACAAGCGUCCAGCCGAUAUAGCCGGCGGUAAUCCCGCCUGCUGCCUCGGGGUAUAAGGGACUGAUGCCGAGGUCGAUGCAGAUGAACUCCAGCUAGGGCACUCUCGUGACACAUGCCCAGGUUGGCCACACUUAAAGCAUUUUCCCUCCCGCUGCGGGCACGACGGCGGUUGAUGGUUGCCGCCGCAAAUAACACAACGGGAUGGUCUCCAACCCCUCGACUGCUGUCAGGGAUACCGAGGGGGUUUCUUAGCAUUUGGCCGGCCCUCGGUACCACCCGCUGUCCGCUUCUUGCUCUUCUCCCUUGCCUCGGCUGCGGACUCACGCUCCUCGCGCUCAUGGGCAUAACCAUGCUCCGCCGACAAAGCCCGAUCAAAGACCUCCGCAAAGGUCGUGAGCUUGAGGAUCUGCACGGCCCUAUGAAUCCCUGGCCGCAAUCCUCGUAGGAACCAGUCCGCUCGGUCCCGGUCAUCCCUGACAACAUCCGGAACGCAGUGAAUGAGGUGGGAGAACUCCUGCUCGUAGUCUGCCACCGAGCGAUCCUCUUGCCUCAACUUGCGGAAUUUCUCUUGCAACUUCCGCUUCACCGUAUCGGGGAAGUAGUUGGCGAACACCGCCCUCCGAAACUCCUCCCACAACAUAGGCGGAAGAUCGGGCGACCGAUCUCGCCUAACAAGCUUCCACCACACCUUCGCCGCCUUCUCAAGGCAAUGUGUGGCGAGGUACACCUUGUCCUUCUCCAAGGUGUUAAGGUCCUCGUAAAGUGUCUCUAUGGAGUCGAUCCAGGACUCCACCACCGCCGGUUCCACCACUCCCCCUUCGAAGGUAGGUGGGUUGAACUUCUGAAACUGAAUGAGAGCCGCCAACGCGCGCUCCCGCUCCGCCUCCUCCGCCGCACUAUCGGGGUUUGAGGUCCCCGAUCCUGCCGGCACCAUCGUAACUGGCACGACCGCCGCGACCACACCCUCGGCCGCACUCGGCACCACUGCAGGAGGCGCAGAGUGCACGGCCUCCACGGGCGCCGCCGCCACCUGCUGCCGCUCCAAGGCCUCCUGGAGCCUUUGGAUUUGCUCCCCUUGGUGCUGAAUGGAUUCCGCCUGCUGCCGCACUAUGCCAAUAAGCGCGGCCAUCUGCUCCCGAAGCUCCCGGUCGCCACCUGCUCCGGGUUGCACGGGAGCCGUACUUGACUCCUGGGCCAUAGAUCUCGUCCGCGGUCGACCACGAGGUAGCUUAGGUCGUCCACGAGGCGGCAUUGCUUCAUGAAACGAAGCAACUCACGUUAGUUACUUAGACAGUAUACUCGAUUAUACCCAAUUCGGCGAAAGCAUAUAAGUGCAUUUAUUUUCAUUCCAAAGCGUUUUGUCGUCGGCCGCCGAUCACAACACAAGGAAAAGCAAACGAAUAACAACUUAAGUUCAGUCCCUAACCACAUUAGAGACAUAAUUACAUCGAUCCAAUCCAUGCCUUCGCUAAAACUUAUUCAGUGUCGCUCACGUUUCCUAGAUCCUUAAGGUUCUCCAUUCCUAAGGGUCUCUAGGUCCAUCCUAUGCUUUCACUUUCUGGCUCUUUACGCUCGGAUACCAUCUUAUCUGUCAUGCCCCGAGCCCGAUCCUUUUGGCCGGUUCGAGAGUGUCGAACAGACGCCGAACGGACAGAACCUCCCCUGACCGCUCAAGGCUCAACAACAAGUAUCAAUAGAAUAUAAAGUUUGCAUAAGCGGAAGCAUACACAAUGGCUUGCACGAGGGCAAGCAAUAGCCAUUAGUGAAAGAAUCUACUAAAUCAUCAUACAAGUAUUUGACUAGAUUUAAAUCACAUACAUGCAUUCGACUUUAAUACAACUUUGCAUUAUUUCUUUUAUACAUCACAAGUUCUUCAAAAUAUGAUUCUUUUUCCAUUUACAUAAAUAAAGUCUUCUACAUCAUUCCUUUAACAUGAUCACAAUAUUAACAUCAUCAAGUACAAAAGAUGAUAAUAAGGGGUAUGCAACUAUGAAAAUAAAACAUCUCGGGCGGUCUCUACCUAGGGCGUGAUGCACUUACCGCGAUCGCCUGCCUGCUCGCUCGGUCCUGGCUCUGUGGAAAGAGUGGGUGUGAGAACUACAACAAAGUUUCCAGUGGGUUCGGCAACCAACCACGCCGACUAUCCCACUAGGUCUAAUCAGGCAUAAUAGAAUAGAAGAAAUAAAGUAACCAACUAACAAUGCAACUAAUAUGCCUGAACAAUAUAAAAUGCGAUGCUCGAAAUAAUGCUCAUGAUGAAUGCAAGAUCAUAAUUUCUUUACACAAUCUCUUGGCUAACCUGUAGGUUUCGCCUUCAACAAACUCACCACCCAAAAUCCUAUCAACCAGGGAGAUACCCGCCACAACCCGAUAGGACCGUUCUCUUGGGAGAUACCCGCUACAACCCAGUGAUGUCGAUUCCGGAGCACAUCGCCCGAGGGAGAGCUACCACCCUUGAGCAAGGACUAAAGGUGAGUACGAUGAAUCCUACAUUGAGGAUUCCAAGUUCAAUCCAUUCCUUAACUUUAAAGAAGACCAUGCUCAAUGACCCUUAACUCUAAGGUUGCAAUGUCAUAAUAUCUCAAUCAUUCUUUUCUUUGCAUUCUUUACCAACACUAGUGUCAUAUACACUACCAAGUUCUUGUACUCAUGCCACACUUGUUUUCUAAGUGCUAUGUUCUUGUUCUCAUGCCAAAUGUCACACUUAUUUUUCUAAGUGUUCUAGACUCAUCAAUAUCACUCGCAAGAUCUAUGUCCAUGUGUCACUUUUGUUCACUAAUCCUUCUAGGUUCUUGUCACUUGUCAUGCAUAAAUAGGGUUAUAAUUCUCACAUUCUUACAAGUAUUUUAUACGUAAUUAAACUCACGAUCAUGCAAUAAAAACUCACAAUUAACCCUACUAUGCAACAUGCUCAAUAUAUACAUAUAUGUUCAAACAUGACACUUUAGACAUAAAGAGAUUUUCGAGGUCCUUGGAAUGCACCACCCACCUCGAGUGGUCGCGUAGGUGUAGAAUACGACGACUCCCGAACUUUACGAAAGCCGAUUCCGCGUCCUAUAACCAAAAUAGUGCCAUAUUAGGCCUUUCGUACAUGAACCAUACUUAAACAUUUUCGUAACGUUAAACGGAGGUGUCCAACGCGUCGUGGACACCCCUAAUUAGGUUUCUACGGGGUCAAUUCGCCCCUCAAAAAUUCUAGGGCAAAAGUCCCAAAUUUGGUACCCUAACCAAACCCAUUGUUAAACCCUAGGUUUUGAUCUCUAAAACAAGCAAAAGAGAGCUUGUCUAACCUCUAGGUGCUCAUCUAAGGUCAACCAAGCCAUUUCUAGGGCAUUCAAGAUGAACCCUAGAAGUUCACCAUGAGAGGAUCUUGGGCUUCCAUGGAUUUUUAUGGAGCUCAAGCCUCAAGAGGUGCUCUAAUCAUCGAAGAAGCUCCAAAACCUAAGUUUUCUUGGGAGAAAUCCAAACCCUAGAGCUCUACAUGCUAAAACAACUUACCUUGGCCCAAGUUCUAGCAAGCUCCUUCUUGUUGGAGAGCUUCUAGACCCACCAAGUCCACCAAAAAUCCCUCCUCAAGCUUCUUCUUCUUCUUCUCCUUCAAGCCCUAGGUGAUUUCUAGAGAGAGAGAGGAGAGAGGAAAUAAGAGGGAGAAGUGUGUGUGUGUGAAUGGCUGUAGAGGGAGAGGGGGUUGGGUAUAUAAGGUGUUGUAACAUUUUCAACAAGACCCCUCCACUUUAUUCCCUGUGCACUGCCCAAACUGGGCAUUUUUCGCAGUAAGGGACCGGUCUCCCUGACCUGUGACCGGUCCCCAAGAGCUCCUCCCGCGGACUACGCAGGCUGCGCACGAUGCAAUCGGUCUCCCUCGAUGAGACCGGUCUCUGGGGGACCGGUCUCUGCUCGUAAGGACCGGUUCCCGAGAGCUGAUUUUUCAGGACUUAGCCGAUUUCUCAGCCACCUCGCUGCCUACGCGUUCGGGGACCGGUCUCUCCCAACAGGGACCGGUCCCCGAGAGCACAAAACCUGCAGUUUGCAGAUUUUGAUUUCCAAAGCUCUCGAAGAUCCCCAGUAAUGUAUUUUAGCAUUAUUUGACGCCUUCGGCCUCUCCGAAGUGUACCAACCUCGCCCUUUGGUCAAUUUGACCAAGGUUCGAAUUUAAUCACCGAGAUUUCGGUAUGUUACAGUUGGGGUAUACUGGUGAUGUAGGGCUCACUCCCUCUCAUUUCUCUCAAUUGCAACCACCCAACAAACACUCUCUUUCUCUCUAGAAGCUCUCCCUCUCUCUAGAAGUGGAAUCAAGAGGAGGAUAAGGUGGAGAUUGGAGCUUGAAGGAGGACCACCAUUGUUAUCUUCUUCCUUAGCUUGGAGAAGGAGCUUAGUAGAGGUAAGCUCUUUGCCUUCUCAUGGUAGAAUGCUUGGAUUAGGGUUUUAUACUGUAGAAAUGGAAUCUAA